Molecule: ribosomal RNA, 247 nt
Filed under: uncultured bacterium
Lineage: Bacteria
Description: partial 16S ribosomal RNA
Rfam family: Bacterial small subunit ribosomal RNA
Source: RNAcentral
AUACGGAGGGUGCAAGCGUUAUUCGGAAUUACUGGGCGUAAAGCGCACGUAGGCGGUUUUCCAAGUUGGAGGUGAAAUCCCUGGGCUCAACCCGGGAACUGCCUCCAAAACUGGAUCACUCGAGUCCGAGAGAGGUGAGUGGAAUUUCCAGUGUAGAGGUGAAAUUCGUAGAUAUUAGGAAGAACACCAGUGGCGAAGGCGGCUUUCUGGCUCGUAACUGACGCUGAGGCGCGAAAGCGUGGGGAGC